AGUCGAUGAUGAUAGAUCAAAAAGGCUUGUUUCUCAAAACAUUCGCAGUUGCCGCCUAAGGCUUUCGCCUUUCGCCGGGCUUGAGAGUCAAUGCUGUUCUUUAUCCUUCCUUGGAUGUCUGAGACU
Small nucleolar RNA from Arabis alpina (gray rockcress), 126 nucleotides. It matches the Rfam family "Small nucleolar RNA SNORD14". From Rfam's summary of the family: U14 small nucleolar RNA (U14 snoRNA) is required for early cleavages of eukaryotic precursor rRNAs. In yeasts, this molecule possess a stem-loop region (known as the Y-domain) which is essential for function. The record is from Rfam. NCBI's taxonomy places the organism in Eukaryota, Viridiplantae, Streptophyta, Magnoliopsida, Brassicales, Brassicaceae.